Molecule: ribosomal RNA, 777 nt
Filed under: uncultured Neocallimastigales
Lineage: Eukaryota; Fungi; Neocallimastigomycota; Neocallimastigomycetes; Neocallimastigales
Description: partial large subunit ribosomal RNA
Rfam family: Eukaryotic large subunit ribosomal RNA
Source: RNAcentral
AGAGAGAGACAUGCGCGCAUAUCAAUAAGCGGAGGAAAAGAAACUAACUAGGAUUCCCUCAGUAACGGCGAGUGAAGCGGGAAGAGCUCAAAUUUGAAAUCUUCAAGGUUCUACCUUGACGAAUUGUAGUUUAAAGAAGUGUUUUCUGUUGGAGUUUUGGUAAAAGUUCUUUGGAAUAGGACAUCAUAGAGGGUGAGAAUCCCGUAUUUGACCAUUAUUUCCAGCUUUGUGAUACACUUUCAAAGAGUCGGAUUGUUUGGGAAUGCAGUCCAAAAUGGGUGGUAAAUUUCAUCUAAAGCUAAAUACUGGCGAAAGACCGAUAGCGAACAAGUACCGUGAGGGAAAGAUGAAAAGAACUUUGAAAAGAGAGUUAAACAGUACGUGAAAUUGUCAAAAGGGAAGCGUUUGACACCAGUGUUGUUUUCUCGAAAAUCAAUUAAAAAAGGCAGGAUUUUGUGUUGUAUUGACUUUAUCAGCUUUCUGCACUCUUUUCUUGUCUUUUUUAAUGCACUUUUCGUUUAACAAGUCAACAUCAAUUUCUUUUGUUGUAAAAGGGUCAUUGGAAGGUGGCUUUCUUUUCGGCGUAAAGUGUUUAUAGCCUCUUGGCCUAUGCAAUCGGAGAGAUUGAGGUCUGCAGCGUAGAUCCUUCGGGGCUAGAUACAUUUGUGCUAAGUUAUAGCAUUUUAUAGACAACUUGUUGACUAUGAUUAGUCAUUGUAGCUUACUCGCUUAUGUUAUUUUACCUACGCUUAGGAUGUUGAUGUGAUACUGCGAGCA